Molecule: ribosomal RNA, 412 nt
Filed under: uncultured microorganism
Description: bacterial SSU rRNA
Rfam family: Bacterial small subunit ribosomal RNA
Source: RNAcentral
GAGUUUGAUCUUGGCUCAGAUUGAACGCUGGCGGCAUGCCUUACACAUGCAAGUCGAACGGCAGCAUGAUCUAGCUUGCUAGAUUGAUGGCGAGUGGCGAACGGGUGAGUAAUACAUCGGAACGUGCCCUGUAGUGGGGGAUAACUAGUCGAAAGAUUAGCUAAUACCGCAUACGACCUGAGGGUGAAAGUGGGGGACCGCAAGGCCUCAUGCUAUAGGAGCGGCCGAUGUCUGAUUAGCUAGUUGGUGGGUAAAGGCCCACCAAGGCGACGAUCAGUAGCUGGUCUGAGAGGACGAUCAGCCACACUGGGACUGAGACACGGCCCAGACUCCGUACGGGAGGCAGCAGGUGGGGAAUUUUGGACAAUGGGCGAAAGCCUGAUCCAGCAAUGCCGCGUGUGUGAAGAAGGCC